RNAcentral lists this ribosomal RNA (821 nucleotides) under uncultured bacterium. Its description in RNAcentral is "bacterial SSU rRNA". It matches the Rfam family "Bacterial small subunit ribosomal RNA", at positions 8 to 812 of the family's 1533-position model. The record is from RNAcentral.
AGAGUUUGCUUCUGGCUCAGGACGAACGCUGGCGGCGUGCCUAAUGCAUGCAAGUAGAACGCUGAAGAGAGGAGCUUGCUCUUCUUGAAUGAGUUGCGAACGGGUGAGUAACGCGUAGGUAACCUGCCUUGUAGCGGGGGAUAACUAUUGGAAACGAUAGCUAAUACCGCAUAACAAUGGGUGACACAUGUCAUUUAUUUGAAAGGGGCAAUUGCUCCACUACAAGAUGGACCUGCGUUGUAUUAGCUAGUAGGUGAGGUAACGGCUCACCUAGGCGACGAUACAUAGCCGACCUGAGAGGGUGAUCGGCCACACUGGGACUGAGACACGGCCCAGACUCCUACGGGAGGCAGCAGUAGGGAAUCUUCGGCAAUGGGGGCAACCCUGACCGAGCAACGCCGCGUGAGUGAAGAAGGUUUUCGGAUCGUAAAGCUCUGUUGUAAGUCAAGAACGAGUGUGAGAGUGGAAAGUUCACACUGUGACGGUAGCUUACCAGAAAGGGACGGCUAACUACGUGCCAGCAGCCGCGGUAAUACGUAGGUCCCGAGCGUUGUCCGGAUUUAUUGGGCGUAAAGCGAGCGCAGGCGGUUUGAUAAGUCUGAAGUUAAAGGCUGUGGCUCAACCAUAGUUCGCUUUGGAAACUGUCAAACUUGAGUGCAGAAGGGGAGAGUGGAAUUCCAUGUGUAGCGGUGAAAUGCGUAGAUAUAUGGAGGAGCACCGGUGGCGAAAGCGGCUCUCUGGUCUGUAACUGACGCUGAGGCUCGAAAGCGUGGGGAGCGAACAAGAUUAGAUACCCUGGUAGUCCACGCCGUAAACGAUGC